UUGACCUCAAAUCAGGUAGGACUACCCGCUGAACUUAAGCAUAUCAAUAAGCGGAGGAAAAGAAACUAACAAGGAUUCCCCCUAGUAACUGCGAGUGAAGCGGGAAAAGCUCAAAUUUGAAAUCUGGCAGCUCUUUGAACUGUCCGAGUUGUA
This 153-nucleotide ribosomal RNA is filed under the name Inocybe cf. geophylla. RNAcentral describes it as "partial 28S ribosomal RNA". It matches the Rfam family "Eukaryotic large subunit ribosomal RNA", at positions 1 to 147 of the family's 3401-position model. Lineage: Eukaryota; Fungi; Basidiomycota; Agaricomycetes; Agaricales; Inocybaceae. The record is from RNAcentral.